UUAAGGGCUAAUCUGUCAGAUAAAUGUGGUAGAUCAAAGCUCUGUUCAUUCCCAUCAACGUACCUCAGGGACAUGCAAAUGCCUAAACACAUUUCCUUUGCAUGGGCAUGAAUUUGAAUUUCACUGGAAAUUGGCAUGCUGUGGAUGCAACUUUGGAGUGCCUUCCGUAGCAAGCGUGCAUGAGCGAGCCUGCAGCCGAAGUAGCUGUCAUCAGACUGCUGCAUCCUAACCUAUAUGCCACCUCUGACCUUACGAUUUGCAAUACCCCAGACAUGUCUGACAGAGAUGAUUGACAGCCGCGUGAGAGAAGGGGUGGCACUGUUAGCCGCGAUGAUGGCCUACAGGUUCAGAAUUGUCAGCCAGGUGCUUCUUAAAUGGAGCCCUUUGUACUACAGCUAAUAGGAAUAAAAGAAGGUCCUGAAUAGCAGUCAACAAAACUGGAGUUCAAACAUCAGAACUGGAACCAAAUGCUAACAGUGGUGCAGAUAAGUGUUAACCAACCAGAAGGAAAAAUCAGGAACAACAAUUCAAGCUGGAAAAACACAAGAGAGAAAACAAAUCCCCAUAUGAGUAAAACUCGAAAUAAAGGAAUAAAUAAUAACAAGGAACAAUAAUAUUGAGCGAUAAACCAAUAUACAACAAA
This is a long non-coding RNA of Bombina bombina (fire-bellied toad), 643 nucleotides long. RefSeq lists it as uncharacterized. The transcript is spliced from 3 exons. The record is from RefSeq and is a predicted model, not a curated record. Lineage: Eukaryota; Metazoa; Chordata; Amphibia; Anura; Bombinatoridae.